Molecule: long non-coding RNA, 298 nt
Filed under: Nicotiana benthamiana
Lineage: Eukaryota; Viridiplantae; Streptophyta; Magnoliopsida; Solanales; Solanaceae
Description: long non-coding RNA (NBEN_LNC004033)
Source: RNAcentral
GAAGCGGCGAGAAAUGGUGAUUUAUCACCAAUGCAUAGUAAAGCAAAUAAGAAAGCUUGUGAAAGAGAAAGAGUUUGCGACAACAGGAUGGGUGUAGACGCUAACAUUCGAAGGCCCCUGAUGAGAAUCGCAAAGCUAAAACAAGCCGUGCAACCAUCCGUCUUAAAACCUACUCGAUCGAGAAACAAGCGUGAAGGUUAAAGACAUUUGGAGCUAUCAGUCCACAAAUAUGAAGAAAAGAAAGCAAAUCCGCUUUCUUUACCAUCACAUUAAUGUUCAUCGUUUUCUUGCUUUUUAU